Molecule: ribosomal RNA, 921 nt
Filed under: Triticum aestivum (bread wheat)
Lineage: Eukaryota; Viridiplantae; Streptophyta; Magnoliopsida; Poales; Poaceae
Description: partial small subunit ribosomal RNA
Source: RNAcentral
AUGGAGCUCUAUGAGGAGUAUAUGGCACCUACUUGCGGACAUGGAUUUUCAGUUUACCUCUACACGUUGGUUGAAAGAUCUACUGGAGUUUGUGCCGAAAAGUAUGGUCGACUACAUCAUCUUGACUGCUUGGCGAGCAUGGCAGAGGAUGGCUCGGCCGGAGCUGGAACGGGGCUUCAAGAUGAAAAUGGGACCAUAAUUUUCUUGGCGUGUCGUCAACUGCUGAACUGUUCAGAUCCUUUUGAGGCCGAAACAAGGGCAUGUACCGUUAGUGGCUCCCGCAGUAGCAAUAUGAUGAUGUGUGAUGCUGCCUGCUGCAGUCAGUGGCUGCCGCUGCGGCUUGGUGCAAUUCCUGCCUCGCUAUGCACUCCUAUCUCCGUCUAUCGUUGCUAUGCGUUGCUUCCUAUAUCCCUCUCUCUUCCUCUUGUAUUUCGUUGGGGGGGUCGUGACCCCCUUUGGCCUCCAAGAGGCUCCGCCACUGCGCACCUAGACGGAGGGAGUACUACAUUUUUGCCUCAGAGUACUAUUUUUGGUGCGUACCAUGUGUUGACUAGAAAAACAACACUAGCUGCCCAGAAGAAGAGGAAUUGCAAGAACCCAUUCACCAUGGCACGUCCAAGGAACGACACACAUAUUUUGUUCUUGGUUGUAGCUCUUCUGGUCAUGUCUACCGCCUUCCUGCCCUGUAACGCAGAUAAUCUGUUCUUUCUUUCCCUUGGUACAAAACUGACAGUUCAUCUCUGUUCGUGCCGCUGUGCAGUCGACCCACCCAGCUGGUGCACGCCGGAGGCGGUUUGCCAGGACCCGGUUACGCCGGGAAACAGGGAAACGUGCAAAAGCAUCUGCAAAAGUUUUGGCUACAACCCGGAACAAGCCUACUGCAAUCCCGAUCCCACUCCGAGGUGCUGCUGCAUCUAUUAA